Molecule: long non-coding RNA, 1774 nt
Organism: Oncorhynchus keta (chum salmon)
Lineage: Eukaryota; Metazoa; Chordata; Actinopteri; Salmoniformes; Salmonidae
Exons: 4
Source: RefSeq, a predicted model, not a curated record
CCCUUCUCUCCCGCCUCUUGGAGCUCCUGAAAGAGUGUGCCGUGUGUUGCUUUCAGCUUGUUUGAGACUGCUGUAACCUUCUACUCAGUGCUUCUACUACGGGCGCUUUCUGCUCAGAAGCCCCCGUUUUGUGAAUGGGCUUCAGUCCGCUCUAACUUCAACCGUGCCCGGGUAGCGCAAGGAACGAAUUCAGAUAUGCAAACAGGCUAAACGCAGUUCUGGGACGCGCACGCUGGACAGCAGUAUGGAGUGUCCGGUGUGCAAGGAGGACUUUGCAGUGGGAGAGCCCGUCAGACAGCUACCCUGCAACCACUUCUUCCACUCAGACUGUAUAGUACCCUGGCUGGAAAUGCAUGAUACGUGUCCUGUGUGUAGGAAGGGGCUGAAUGGAGAAGACAGCAACACCCAGAACCCCCCAGAAUCCCCCUCUCUAAAUACGGACCCCCGCACACAGGAGAGAUGGUCCUUCUGAAAUACACCUCCCCCUCAUCCCCUUACCGCACCUCUCUAACCUCCUUUUAAUCUCUCUCAUCUGUCCUUCAUUCCACUUUUUUGACCCCCCCCCCUCUUCUACGAACUACUGCACACGGGAGAUAAGGACUUUCUGAAGGAUAGACCUCCAUCUCUGCCUCAUUCCUCCUCUCUGAAUCAUCUCUUCAUCUACAGUGAUAGGAUGGUCAUCUCAGUAUGACUGUUCCUGUCUCAAUUCCCCUGGAACCAUGUUCACACAGAGUACACACACAUAUAUCAUGAUUCAGUAGAACCACACACACACGUCAUGAUCCAUUAGCUGUCCUCUGCCUCAUCAUGACCAAGUACUUGCCUUUACCUCGCUUCAAACAUCAACCACAUCUCGCUUUUUCUACUCUUUUCUCCAUAUUCCUCUUUUUCCAUCCUUCUGAAAAGCACUGCUGUAAAACAAUGUCUCUCCCUACCUGUCUACUCCUGGGAUGCAUCUCAAUAGUCUAGUGGCUUCCUCUCCUCCUCAUCUGCACUGAACAUGGUGGAUGCUCACCAGGAAUUUGAUUUUGCCUUUCUAGCUCUGUCACAUCAGUGCAGAAAGGAGACAUCAUUUUGACUAUUGAGACGGGGCCCACAACAAUCUACUGUCUUUCGCUGUCAUUCUGGUGUAUAUAUUACAAACAGAUUGCAUCGCUCUGUCAUUCUGGUGUAUAUAUUACAAACAGAUUGCAUCGCUCUGUCAUUCUGGUGUAUAUAUUACAAACAGAUUGCAUCGCUCUGUCAUUCUGGUGUAUAUAUUACAAACAGAUUGCAUCGCUCUGUCAUUCUGGUGUAUAUAUUACAAACAGAUUGCAUCGCUCUGUCAUUCUGGUGUAUAUAUUACAAACAGAUUGCAUCGCUCUGUCAUUCUGGUGUAUAUAUUACAAACAGAUUGCAUCGCUCUGUCAUUCUGGUGUAUAUAUUACAAACAGAUUGCAUCGCUCUGUCAUUCUGGUGUAUAUAUUACAAACAGAUUGCAUCGCUCUGUCAUUCUGGUGUAUAUAUUACAAACAGAUUGCAUCGCUCUGUCAUUCUGGUGUAUAUAUUACAAACAGAUUGCAUCGCUCUGUCAUUUUACUCUGUUGAUGACUUGUCUUUUGUUUCACAUUUCAAUCACUAUUUUUUUAAUGUAAAUACUUUUAGUCCAACAUCUUCUGGUUUGAGAAGAGAACAACAAAGCAUAUUGAGAAUGGAGACAAAUGUGAAUCCCUGGGUAUUAGUCUGUGUAUAUUAUUAUAUGAUGUAUUAAUAAUUAAAAAAAUAUUAAAAACCA